Non-coding RNA from Caenorhabditis elegans, 21 nucleotides. NCBI's taxonomy places the organism in Eukaryota, Metazoa, Nematoda, Chromadorea, Rhabditida, Rhabditidae. The record is from Ensembl.
UUCUGCUGGCUAUUUAGUAGC